GGUAGUGGCCAGUUUGGUCUGGUUACUCAAAAUCCUUCUUUCUCGAUUAUAGAUGCCACAUAUGUGUUUUUUAGUUCCUUUUUAAUUGCAACAGCCGACAUACCUUGCUUACAGGUACUUCUAUAUGUCAGCUUUGGAGCUGUGUCCUGGUCCUUGGAAUUGCCAUCGACCAGAUCGGAGAGGGGGAGCAACAACGACAGAGGUAAGGAAAAGGAAGGAAUAUGUUGUAGCUCUGUUUGCCUGCAGUGCUCACUACUACUGUUGAAGUCUAGCAACAACAACUAUGAACUCUAAAUGAAAAUUUUCAGCUUAUUUUAUUUCGGGAAGCCUGAUUGGUCACUAGAGCCAAGUCAAAUUUCUAACUGAACUAGAUUUUUGAGUUAGAUUUCAUUUUUUAGCUCUUUUGCAUAUGAACAAAACAAUAUUUGGAGCUGAAAGCUAUCAUUUUGCCAGGCAAUUUUAUUCCAUGCUUUGAGCUUCAAAAUGAUUUGAUGAAAUGACCAGUCAUAUACAUAUGUUUUGAGUAGGUCCUGAACAUAGUAUACUAUGAUGUUUAAGUAGCUCCAAAAUUUACUGAUUUGCUUCAGCCUAUAGGUAUGUAGGUCUUCAGUCUUGGCAUGCAGCUAUGCAUCAGUAUCUCCCAUCCACAUUGCUCCUUCUCCGUAUUAUUUUGUUUAGAAAAUAUUUUAUAUAUACAGAGAAGGUGGUGAGGCAAUGCCAAGUGGUAUGCAAGAUUCGGAGAUUUCACAUUUUUAUUUUUUCUAAAAGAAUUGCUAUUUCAACUAGAUUGACUAUGCUUUUAGUGUACUUGCACAUUCUGCUUUACUCAAGUACAUUUUUACUACAACAUGUGAAAUAAUCAUGUUGAGUUGUUCAUAUUACAAAAGCAGUUCUCUUAAAUUCAGCUUAGGUUUGCAUUGUUAUCUCAGUCUCUAUCUCUUGGAUUCACUUUUGUAGCCAAUUGUGAAUAAUUAUUUUACAUUCAGAAAAGUGAUUCUACAGUUUUACAUGUACUAGCUAGAUUAGGUAUGUAUUUAGGAAAACCCUCCUUUAUUCAUGCUCUUAUUUCAUAGAUAUAGACUACUGAGUGUAGUAUGCAAUCUGUUUUUUUUAUCUGCACCCAACUCACUGCAUGCAUCCAACACUGCAGUUAGUGAGUCCACCUGGAUGCAACUUUUGCAACUUAUCAGCCAAACGAACAAGACGAGUGAAUAUUCUUAUCUAUAAGGUCUUUUUUGUGUCAGCAAAUUGCAAGCAUCAAGCCUGUCAAGAAAACUACGACAGUCAAAAUAUUUAUUGCACGAGCAAAUAAAAUGGCCUUAUUAUGACUUGGCUUGUAACUAAUUAUCUAUUAGCAGGUUUUAGCAAAUAUCAAUGUGAGCUUAGAGUAAGAGAGAUCUUGAUUUGAUGGGCCCCAGGAGGGAUGUAAACCGCUGCUAGCAAGACCACAACUGCCACACAACUCCGGGAGAAAGGGAGGGCGGCCAUAGCAUAUGGCUUCUGGAGGAGGGCGACAUCUGUAGUUUGAGAAGCCAAGCUCCCUAUGUUUGUGAUUGCAAGAUGAAAGCAAAAACUUGGGUGGAAGCAUGGCAAGCAACAUGCAUGCUACAGAUUUGCAAAGCUGCUUUUUUUCUUGCUUGCUUAAAAAAUGGCAAAAUAUAUAAGUAGCUUUUGAAAAUAGUUAUGAGAUUACAUCAGUGAUUUAUAUUUUACAAUUAGAGUCAUCACUUGAUCUCUUGAAAUACUAGAAAAUAUAGAUUUUUAAAUCCGUAGCAACGCAUGAACCUAGUCUAAAAUAUAAACAAAAAAGAGUUUAGUGGUUCCUAGUUGUAGAUGGG
This 1838-nucleotide long non-coding RNA is filed under the name Sorghum bicolor (sorghum). RNAcentral's name for it is "long non-coding RNA (SBIC_LNC003859)". Lineage: Eukaryota; Viridiplantae; Streptophyta; Magnoliopsida; Poales; Poaceae. The record is from RNAcentral.